UGGGGAAUAUUGGACAAUGGGGGCAACCCUGAUCCAGCCAUGCCGCGUGAGUGAAGAAGGCCUUAGGGUUGUAAAGCUCUUUCAGUCGUGACGGUGAUGACGGUAGCGACAGAAGAAGCCCCGGCUAACUCCGUGCCAGCAGCCGCGGUAAUACGGAGGGGGUUAGCGUUGUUCGGAAUUACUGGGCGUAAAGCGCGCGUAGGCGGACUGGAAAGUUGGGGGUGAAAUCCCGGGGCUCAACCCCGGAACUGCCUUCAAAACUCCCAGUCUUGAGUUCGAGAGAGGUGAGUGGAAUUCCGAGUGUAGAGGUGAAAUUCGUAGAUAUUCGGAGGAACACCAGUGGCGAAGGCGGCUCACUGGCUCGAUACUGACGCUGAGGUGCGAAAGCGUGGGGAGCAAACAGGAUUAGAUACCCCCGUAGUCC
Molecule: ribosomal RNA, 424 nt
Filed under: uncultured prokaryote
Description: bacterial SSU rRNA
Rfam family: Bacterial small subunit ribosomal RNA
Source: RNAcentral